This 28-nucleotide non-coding RNA is filed under the name Mus musculus (house mouse). Lineage: Eukaryota; Metazoa; Chordata; Mammalia; Rodentia; Muridae. The record is from RNAcentral.
UGCUACAUGGAUGAUGUUUUUUCCAAGG